GGAUGUAUAGUUUAGUGCUAGAGUGCUUGCCUUGCAUGCAAGAGGCCCUGGGUUCAAUUCCCAGUAUCA
This 69-nucleotide transfer RNA is filed under the name Marmota monax (woodchuck). It matches the Rfam family "tRNA". Rfam says of the family: Transfer RNA (tRNA) molecules are approximately 80 nucleotides in length. The record is from Rfam by way of RNAcentral. Lineage: Eukaryota; Metazoa; Chordata; Mammalia; Rodentia; Sciuridae.